AUGCAUGCAUGCGUCGUCAAUUUCAUGAGGUUCAGUAGAUCUGUACAUCAGUUGGUGCUGAUGGGCGAGAUCGGCGGGAACGACUACAACUUCUGGUUCAGUGACCGCCGGAGACCCCGUGAAACGCCGGAGAAGUACCUGCCCGACGUGGUCGCCCGCAUCGGCGCCGCCGUGCAGGAGGUGAUCAACCUCGGCGCCAGGACGACCGUCGUCCCUGGCAACUUCCCCAUCGGGUGCUUGCCGGCGUACCUGGGCGCCCACCAGAGCAACGUCAAGGCCGACUACGACGAGCUCCACUGCCUCAAGUGGUACAACGAAUUCUCCCAGAAGCACAACCAGGUGCUCCGGCAGGAGCUCGCCCGGCUCCGGUCGCAGAACCCUGGCGUCAAGGUCGUCUACGCUGACUACUACGGCGCCGCCAUGCAGUUCGUCCAGAAGCCGCAGGCGUACGGCAUCGCCGACCCGCUCGUGGCGUGCUGCAACGGCAACGGGCCGUACCACACCGGCGGGGCGUGCAACAACCAGACGAAGCUGUGGGGCAGCCCCGACGGGUUCGCCAGCUGGGACGGCCUGCACAUGACGGAGAAAGCGUACAAGAUUGUCUCCGACGGGGUGCUGGACGAGCCGUUAGCCGACACCCCGCUGCGCCAUAUUUGCUAG
This 660-nucleotide ribosomal RNA is filed under the name Triticum aestivum (bread wheat). RNAcentral describes it as "partial small subunit ribosomal RNA". Lineage: Eukaryota; Viridiplantae; Streptophyta; Magnoliopsida; Poales; Poaceae. The record is from RNAcentral.